UAGGGAAUAUUGCGCAAUGGACGAAAGUCUGACGCAGCCACGCCGCGUGGAUGAUGAAGCUUUUCGGAGUGUAAAAUCCUGUCAGUGGGGAAGAACCGGUCGGGGAGUAACUGCCCCGGCCCUGACGGUACCCGCAGAGGAAGUUCCGGCUAACUCCGUG
This 160-nucleotide ribosomal RNA is filed under the name uncultured bacterium. RNAcentral describes it as "partial 16S rRNA". It matches the Rfam family "Bacterial small subunit ribosomal RNA", at positions 355 to 507 of the family's 1533-position model. The record is from RNAcentral.